RNAcentral lists this transfer RNA (64 nucleotides) under uncultured Collinsella sp. It matches the Rfam family "tRNA". Rfam says of the family: Transfer RNA (tRNA) molecules are approximately 80 nucleotides in length. Lineage: Bacteria; Bacillati; Actinomycetota; Coriobacteriia; Coriobacteriales; Coriobacteriaceae. The record is from RNAcentral.
GCCUUGGUUCAAAGGUAGAACACCGGUCUUCCAAAUCGGUUAUGCGGGUUCGAUUCCCGCAGGC